AUAGAAGGAUCUUCCGCUCCAUAUAGAAGGCUUGUAACUGCACCCAUAGACCGUCCCCAUAGACCUAUGCGUGAAACUUUCAGGUUGCUUCUCAGAUGUGACACAACUACCUUGAGGUCAUCUUUCUCAUGCCAACCAAGACUAACAUAGUUGCCAUCUGACAAGCCUGAACCCGAGAAGUCAAGGGUUACCACAGUGAUAUUUGAUGAAAGAAGUAUUACAGCUGCCUCAUUCGCAUCAGCCCUACAGCCGCUGUUUCCAUGG
This 264-nucleotide unclassified non-coding RNA is filed under the name Hevea brasiliensis (rubber tree). Lineage: Eukaryota; Viridiplantae; Streptophyta; Magnoliopsida; Malpighiales; Euphorbiaceae. The record is from RNAcentral.